UGGACUCCAGAACCUUUAGUGCCUCCAUCUGAUGAAAAUUUAAAUUUAAAAACAAGAACAAUAAGUGGCAAAGUUGGGAAAAUGGUAAUUGUGGACGGUAAGAAAUGUUUGAAUGCUGCAACUCAUAAUUAUUUAGGUUUGGUAGAGCAUCCUAAACUAGAGGAAGCCGCCUUACAAUGUUUAAGAAAAUACGGUGUGGGUUCUUGCGGACCUCGGGGCUUCUAUGGAACUGUUGGUAAUGUUCAAAACAAAACAAUUAUUUUAAACAAAAGAGACUGCUCUAUUAUAAAUCUAUAAUGCAUAUAGGA
Non-coding RNA from Parasteatoda tepidariorum (common house spider), 308 nucleotides. The record is from RefSeq and is a predicted model, not a curated record. Lineage: Eukaryota; Metazoa; Arthropoda; Arachnida; Araneae; Theridiidae.